Molecule: non-coding RNA, 71 nt
Organism: Stegodyphus mimosarum
Lineage: Eukaryota; Metazoa; Arthropoda; Arachnida; Araneae; Eresidae
Source: Rfam
GCCUACGAGGUGUAAUGGUAGCACACUCGGCGUGUAUUCAAGAGGUCCAAGUUCGAGUCUUGGCGAAGUCA